GUUUGGAUCAAUCCAACCGAGUUUUGGAAUCCUCCAAAACUCAAAAAAUCAAAUACAAUAUGAGAAAAAUAAGGUAUAGAAAAUUCAGCACAAUAUCCCCUUAAAUAGACACAAUAAGUGCAAUAGAAAUAUAAUACUUAAGGAGAAAAAGCUUUUGCUGAAUACCCUCAAUGAAUUUCACACUUGAUUGUAGCUGGAGAGUGAUUGGUGAAGUGAUU
Molecule: long non-coding RNA, 218 nt
Filed under: Elaeis guineensis (African oil palm)
Lineage: Eukaryota; Viridiplantae; Streptophyta; Magnoliopsida; Arecales; Arecaceae
Description: long non-coding RNA (EGUI_LNC054240)
Source: RNAcentral